CCGUCACUAGCUCAUCAGGAAAGAGCAUCAACCUUUUUAUGUUGAGAAUGCGGGGUUCGAGUCCCCGGUGACGGUCCA
Molecule: transfer RNA, 78 nt
Filed under: Escherichia coli
Lineage: Bacteria; Pseudomonadati; Pseudomonadota; Gammaproteobacteria; Enterobacterales; Enterobacteriaceae
Also listed under: 2 other names
Description: tRNA-Lys
Rfam family: tRNA
About the family: Transfer RNA (tRNA) molecules are approximately 80 nucleotides in length. Their secondary structure includes four short double-helical elements and three loops (D, anti-codon, and T loops). Further hydrogen bonds mediate the characteristic L-shaped molecular structure. tRNAs have two regions of fundamental functional importance: the anti-codon, which is responsible for specific mRNA codon recognition, and the 3' end, to which the tRNAs corresponding amino acid is attached (by aminoacyl-tRNA synthetases). tRNAs cope with the degeneracy of the genetic code in two manners: having more than one tRNA (with a specific anti-codon) for a particular amino acid; and 'wobble' base-pairing, i.e. permitting non-standard base-pairing at the 3rd anti-codon position.
Source: RNAcentral